This 120-nucleotide ribosomal RNA is filed under the name Parastagonospora nodorum SN15. Lineage: Eukaryota; Fungi; Ascomycota; Dothideomycetes; Pleosporales; Phaeosphaeriaceae. The record is from RNAcentral.
ACAUAUAACCAUAGGAUCUUGAAAGCAAUGCUUCCCUUCCGCUCAGCAAUAUUUAAGCAGAAUACCGGCGGAUUAGUAGCCAGGUGGGUGAUCACUGUCGAGUCCCCGCUGUUGUAUGUU